Molecule: long non-coding RNA, 3216 nt
Filed under: Lactuca sativa (garden lettuce)
Lineage: Eukaryota; Viridiplantae; Streptophyta; Magnoliopsida; Asterales; Asteraceae
Description: long non-coding RNA (LSAT_LNC002359)
Source: RNAcentral
UGUAUGUCGAUGACAUACUGCUCAUAGGAAACGACAUCCCGACUCUGCAGGAGGUCAAGUCCUGGCUCGGGAAGUGUUUCGCUAUGAAGGACCUCGGAGAGGCUUACUAUAUUUUGGGAAUAAGGAUUGUGAGAGAAAGAAGUAAGAGACUAAUAGGACUUAGUCAGAAUACUUACUUAGAUAAGGUACUAAAACAUUUUAGUAUGGAAAACUCGAAGAAGGGAGAACUACCGAUACAAAGUAAUACCAAGUUGAGUAAGACUCAAAGCCCGGGUACCGAAGCUGAGAUAGUUGAGAUGAGCCGAGUACCUUACACUUCCGAAGUUGGCUAGAUCAUGUAUGCUAUGACUUGUACUCGACCUAAUGNGCACACAUAUAAGGCACGAUUGGUGGCGAAGGGCUUUACUCAAACUCCCGGAGUUGACUAUGAUGAGACCUUCUCACCAGUUGCGAAGAUAAAAUCUAUUAGGGUAAUGCUAUCUAUUGCCGCAUUUCAUGAUUAUGAAAUAUGGCAGAUGGAUGUCAAAACCGCUUUACUUAACGGGAAGUUGGCUGAAGAUGUUUGCAUGGCUCAGCCAGAGGGUUUUGUCGAUCCGAAGCAUCCAAAUAGAGUGUGUAAGCUUGAGAAGUCCAUUUAUGGACUUAAGCAAGCAUCUCGCAGAUGGAAUCUUUGCUUUGAUGAGAAAGUCAAAGAGUUUGGAUUUGUACGAAGCGAAGAUGAAUCAUGUGUAUAUGUCAAAGCCAGUAGGAGCAUAGUUAGCUUUCUCGUUUUGUAUGUCGAUGACAUACUACUCAUAGGAAACGACAUCCCGACUCUGCAGGAAGUUAAGUCCUGGCUCGGGAAGUGUUUCGCUAUUAAGGACCUCGGAGAGGCUUCCUAUAUUUUUGGAAUAAGGAUAGUGAGAGAAAGAAGUAAGAGACUAAUAGGACUUAGUCAAAAUACUUACUUAGAUAAGGUACUAAAAAGUUUUAGUAUGGAGAACUCGAAAUUGAGUAAACUACAAAUACAAAGUAAUUCCAAAUUGAGUAAGACUCAAAGUCCGAGUACCGAAGCCGAGAUAGCUGAGAUGAUCUGAGUACCUUACGCUUCCGUAGUUGGCUCAAUCAUGUAUGCUAUGACUUGUACUCACCCUGAUGUGGCCUUUGCUUUGAGCUUGGUCAGUAGAUAUCAAGGGAAUCCUGGUAGAGCGCAUUGGAUUGCGGUCAAGAACAUCCUUAAGUACCUUCGGAGGACCAAGGAAUGGUUUCUAGUCCUCGGAUGGAGUGAUGACUUGAAUGUGUGAGGGUACAGUGACGCCAGUUUCCAGACCGACAAGGACAACUACCGUUCGCAGUCAGGAUGGGUCUUUACCCUUAAUGGAGGAGCAGUNCAAGCUAUAGGGUUGUAUAUGCACAUAGGGAAAGCCAUAGUGAAACCCUAAUUUCGGGGUUUUGCACCCUAUUUAAGCAUCUUAAUCCCCACCUUAUGGCCUCAUUUCCAGCCUCCAAGUCCCAAACCCUAAUACACGAAACCCUAGAGCAUUUUGUGAGUGUGUGAGCCAUUCUUGAGGAAUCUUCUGUGUUCUUGAAGCUAGAAGAAAAAGAAGCAGCAAGAAGGUUUAAGGAGAAGAUAGUAGUUCCAGAGACUUCCUUCCAUCCCCAUUAUUUUCUAGUAAUCAAGUCUUUAUCUUGGCUACUAGUUCAUUAUAUCUCCUUAGUUCCAUUUUAUGAGGGUUUUGUUUCAAGCAACUUGACCUUCGGGACAUGGAUGUCCCAAGUGGCUUAUCUUUCAGAUCUGGGAUCUAGAAGGGGUUUCAUGGCACAAAGUUGCAAACUUUUAUGACCAUUGAAGCCCCAUGCAAGCUUAAAGAGAUUAUUAUGGCCUUUUUGUAAUACUUGGCUCCCGAUAUGUAUUUUUUUAAAUUAAGUUUUGCAUUUUUACUUUCAGACACAAAGAGUUGGAGGCCCAACUCGUCGAGUAGAUGCGAGUUUUGGGACGCAGGUGGAAAAGUCAACUCGCUGAGUCGGAAGCCCCAACUCGACGAGUAGAACUCUCUGGAUGAAACCCUAAAUUUGAGGGUUUGCACCCUAUUUAAACACCUUAAGUGACCUCUACUCCAGCCUCCAUCACCCUCAGACCCCAUUCUCGAAACCCUAAUUAGUUGGGUGUGUUCUUGAGCUAUUUUGGUGCCAUUUUUGUGAUUUGAAGCUUGGAGAAGAAGGAGAGGCUUGGAUGUUCAAGAAGAAGGUAGUAGAUCCAGAGUCUUGGUUGCAUUUCCAGCUUGUUUGAGGUAAAAAUCUUCAACCUUGUAUUCCUAUUUGUUAGAUCUUCCUGAGGGCUUGAAUCUUGUCAAUUUUUGGGCAUUUCUAAGUCACUUCGGGUUUAGAGUGUAAUGUAGAGUGAUGACUUCAGAUCUUGAACCUUGAUGAGUUCUCAUGGCAAAAGGUGCCAACUUUAUGGCCAUGGGAGCCCAUGCACUUUGUAGACUUCAUUUUUGGGUCUUUUGAGCUUGAAGAUGUUGGAUUAGUGUCUAAGGCUAUAACUAUAUUUGGUAAGUACUUGACCCGAUUGUGCAUGGUCCUUUUGGGUUGCCUUCACCAUAGCAACUUGAUAGGGUGAUUUAGAGAGAAGAGAUAUUAUUAUUAAUGUAUUAUAAGAAUAAUAUGUUAGAGAAAUAAUAAUAUUAUUUGAUUAAUAUAAGUCAUAAAUUAAUUAGGAAUUAAUUUGGUGACUUAAAGAGAUUAAUUGAAUAAAGGGGUAUAAACUGUCAAAUGUGUGAAAGUUGUAUUUUGAGCUGAUAACCCUUACGGAUAUGGGUUGGACGAUUUUAGGGAUGUGGAUCACCUAGAAAUCGUCCAAGGCCUUAUCUAGAAGGAGAUUUGGAUUGCUUUGAGGCUAAGUUAUCCAAUUAGGGUUUUAGGGUGAAACCCUAGGAGCUCACAGUAUAAAUAGACCCAUAGGGUUGAGGAAAUUGGCCAGCCUUGCUAUUGGAGUAACCCUAGAGCCAAUUUCCCUCUUCCUCAUCUCUCUCAAAUCAUCUUCUUGCUAGUUGGUGUUUGUAAGCCAUUAGAGGAGUGACAUUUGUGACUCUAAGCUCCAAGAAGAAGAAGGUUUUCAAGCAAGUAACUCAAGGUAUUAUUCUAGAUCUGUUUUCAUAUGUUUUGAUUUUUAGUUUACAUUAGAUCUAGCCAUGAGAGUCUUAGAUAUGUUGCAUGCUCAAUUAGUGAAACCUAGAU